Molecule: ribosomal RNA, 490 nt
Filed under: uncultured bacterium
Lineage: Bacteria
Description: partial 16S ribosomal RNA
Rfam family: Bacterial small subunit ribosomal RNA
Source: RNAcentral
AUUGAACGCUGGCGGCAGGCCUAACACAUGCAAGUCGAACGGUAACAGGAAGCAGCUUGCUGCUUUGCUGACGAGUGGCGGCCGGGUGAGUAAUGUCUGGGAAACUGCCCGAUGGAGGGGGAUAACUACUGGAGACGGUAGCUAAUACCGCAUAACGUCGCAAGACCAAAGAGGGGGACCUUAGGGCCUCUUGCCAUCGGAUGUGCCCAGAUGGGAUUAGCUAGUAGGUGGGGUAACGGCUCACCUAGGCGACGAUCCCUAGCUGGUCUGAGAGGAUGACCAGCCACACUGGAACUGAGACACGGUCCAGACUCCUACGGGAGGCAGCAGUGGGGAAUAUUGCACAAUGGGCGCAAGCCUGAUGCAGCCAUGCCGCGUGUAUGAAGAAGGCCUUCGGGUUGUAAAGUACUUUCAGCGGGGAGGAAGGGAGUAAAGUUAAUACCUUUGCUCAUUGACGUUACCCGCAGAAGAAGCACCGGCUAACUCCGUG